ACGGACUUACAUUGAAGCCUAGCGAUAUGUAAGUUAGUGGCGGACGGGUGAGUAACGCGUGGGUAACCUGCCUUGUACUGGGGGACAACAGUUGGAAACGACUGCUAAUACCGCAUAAGCGCACAGCUUCGCAUGAAGCAGUGUGAAAAACUCCGGUGGUACAAGAUGGACCCGCGUCUGAUUAGCUGGUUGGUGAGGUAACGGCCCACCAAGGCGACGAUCAGUAGCCGGCCUGAGAGGGUGAACGGCCACAUUGGGACUGAGACACGGCCCAAACUCCUACGGGAGGCAGCAGUGGGGAAUAUUGCACAAUGGGGGAAACCCUGAUGCAGCAACGCCGCGUGAGUGAAGAAGUAUUUCGGUAUGUAAAGCUCUAUCAGCAGGAAAGAAAAUGACGGUACCUGACUAAGAAGCCCCGGCUAACUACGUGCCAGCAGCCGCGGUAAUACGUAGGGGGCAAGCGUUAUCCGGAUUUACUGGGUGUAAAGGGAGCGUAGACGGUUUUGCAAGUCUGAAGUGAAAGCCCGGGGCUUAACCCCGGGACUGCUUUGGAAACUGUAGGACUAGAGUGCAGGAGAGGUAAGUGGAAUUCCUAGUGUAGCGGUGAAAUGCGUAGAUAUUAGGAGGAACACCAGUGGCGAAGGCGGCUUACUGGACUGUAACUGACGUUG
RNAcentral lists this ribosomal RNA (671 nucleotides) under uncultured bacterium. Its description in RNAcentral is "bacterial SSU rRNA". It matches the Rfam family "Bacterial small subunit ribosomal RNA", at positions 66 to 748 of the family's 1533-position model. The record is from RNAcentral.